Molecule: long non-coding RNA, 1845 nt
Organism: Aegilops tauschii subsp. strangulata
Lineage: Eukaryota; Viridiplantae; Streptophyta; Magnoliopsida; Poales; Poaceae
Source: RefSeq, a predicted model, not a curated record
GCACGAAAAACAAUCGGACGGAGUGAGGCACCCUCGCAUGAGAAAAAAUCAGACGAACGAGGCCGCCCUCGAUCUAUUCUCUAUGUCGACGGAAACCACGCCGCUGCCGCCAUCGCAGAUCCCUUCGCCGCCGCCGAUCUAUUCGCUAUCUCUACGUCGACGGGAACCAUGCCCUAGCCUCCAUCGCGGAUCCUUUUGCUGGCGUCGAGGUCCUAGAAGAGCCGCCACCGCCUUCAUUGCGGACCCCCAGGACGUCGUCGGGACACCGCCGCUGAGGUCCGCCAUCGCCGCCGUCGAGGUCCGGGAGGGGCAUGAUCCCAGGGUGAUUUGCAUCCCGGGGCACCACCCGCUCAUUGCCGGGAUGCCCGAGCCCGCCAAGAAGUCCGCCAUGCCGCGAAGGGGCUCCUGGGGGCACGAACCAUAGCUGCACCGUCAGACCAUCGCGCUCAACUUCGAGGAGAGGAUGCCCGUCAAGGAGCGACGACCCUCCUCCUCCUCCGAACAAGAUCCCAAAGUGCCUGUUCCACCUGAGAAGAGAGCUCGAUGAGCUGCACGGCCUCACGCACAAUGAGCAGGACGCCCAGGGAAAUGGAGCCCUACUCGCCGGUCUCCGACCGCCGGCGUCGGCAGCACCGCUGCCUCCUCCAACCCUCCUUGUCGGUCGCCCGCGUGCUGGUGCGAGGUAAGCUCAAUGCUCUCGGCAAGGAAGCCAUGGAGUAGAGGGAGCAGACGCAGAAUCUAUUGUACACAUCAAAUCGAAUCAAUGGUGGUUUUCUACAAGCACAUCAGUGCAAAAAAUGACAAUUGAUAGCCUCUCCUGUAGCUAUCAUACCAUGUGUUGUGUCACUAAGUUACAGUAUCAACUGCAGUCUACAUAUUUUCAGAUUAAUGAAGUUUAUAGCCCUCCAAUGCAGUAUCAGUAUGCUUUAUAAAAUUAUUCGAGUAUUGCAAAAUUGCAUGAUACAUCAAAUUGGAGCGUAUCCUACUUUUUAUGGACUGUGGACUUAUGUUGCUUAUUUAGAGGCUGCCAUACAUGGAUCAGGUAUGAUAUUGAUUGCAGAAAUUUCUAUACGACUGUUGUGAAUUUUGACCUAUUUCUUCCUGAUUUAGGAGAACUACAAUUUUUUGGUGCAUGAUCUAAAAUAGUUUCAACAAAUCCUCCCCUAAUGUUCUUAAUGUUCUGUGGUACACAAUUUGGGUAAAGGAGAGCACAUUACUCUAAUGUUUCUGCAGAUGAUAUUAAAUUGGACAUUUCAAUGGAUAAUAUAUGGUAUUGACUUGGACAUUGGUGUUGUGGAACACUCUAGCAGGUUUUGGAUCUUAUAGAAGUAUCAGUUGGCAGGGUCUGAAAAUCACGGUGUAAGUGUUUCAGCCUAUUAAUCUGUAGAUAAAAAAGUCCGUACAUCUCUACCAAUAAGGCAAUAAUCCCGAAGAAAGUUCUACUAUUGCAAACGCUCCAACUGAACAAGGAAUAUGAAUGUUUAAAUGAAGAAAGAAGCCAGUUUCUCCAGAAGGAAUACAGAAUAAUAUUUUGGAUUAUUUACUUGAGGUUAUGGGGAAGUGUGUGUUCAAAUGAAUCUAGCAUGCCAAUAACAUUUGUUGGUUCCUGAGAACUCACAUGAAGUAGUACUAUAUCACACUCUUCCGUGCCAAGGAAGGCUGGAUCGCUAGCAAGUCGUCCAUCAUGCUGGCUGCUGUACACCAAGAAUGCCAGCGAGAACAUGUAUAUUCCAUAAACUUUUUCAUUGUAUUAUACUCCCUCCGUCCUUGAAAGAGUGUACUUCCAACUUUGUUGGAAUGUUUGACUGUAUUUAUACAAUAAUACGUCAACAUUUAUGCCUUCAA